This 464-nucleotide ribosomal RNA is filed under the name uncultured bacterium. RNAcentral describes it as "partial 16S ribosomal RNA". It matches the Rfam family "Bacterial small subunit ribosomal RNA", at positions 28 to 507 of the family's 1533-position model. The record is from RNAcentral.
GACGAACGCUGGCGGCGUGCUUAACACAUGCAAGUCGAACGGAAAGGCCCCUUUGGUGGUGGGCGCGUGGGGAGCGAAUGGGUGAGAAAUACGUGAGCUACCCUUCCCUUCCGUUUGGAUUAAGUCAAGUAAGGGGGGUUACUGACGGGAAUGAGUUCCGCCUGGUUGGGGGGGGAUGGAUAGGGUGGGUGGGGAUGGACGGACGGCUUAUCUGCUUGUUGGUGGGGGGGUGGCUUGCCAAGGCUUUGUUUGGUGGCCGGCCGGAGAGGGUGACCGGCCACAUUGGGACUGAGAUACGGCCCAGACUCCUCCGGGAGGCAGCAGUGGGGAAUAUUGCACAAUGGGCGGAAGCCUAAUGCAGCAACGCCGCGUGCGGGAUAACGGCCUUCGGGUUGUAAACCGCUUUCGCCUGUGACGAAGCGUGAGUGACGGUAAUGGGUAAAGAAGCACCGGCUAACUACGUG